UCCAUCUAUCUAUCUAUCUAUAUAUGUUUGUUUGUUUUACAUCUUACUCUCUCUUCAAUCAUUGAGUUCGCACGCCAUCAUGAUCACCCAUAGAAACUCCACCUUGUUAAUUAUCCAUGAAAAAGCUUUGCUUUUGUGGUUUAGAACACACCUUCAUUCUGUGUUUUGAAAAAUGCUCUUACAGUAUGUAAACAUCUCGACAUCGACUUGCUUAGAAUAAUUAAUCAUUCUUCAUAGCAAGGACCAGACUCUUUCUUGCAACUGAUCAGUUCUGUCUUGGUGCAUAAAUGCUAGCUCGUAAAACGUCAACAUUUGCAUUCAAGAGUAUCGGUAGAAGGGGUGGAGCAUGCUACUAUUGGCCUAGGGCUCAAGAGGGUCCCGUGGAUCCAGCCGACUGCCCACUCGCAAUUGCGUUCAGUGGUUAAAAGUGAUUCUCCGUUGGCAAAGCAGGCUCUAGCUUCUUUCUAGUUCCUCCUCUCCUCUCCUCUCCUCUCCUCUCCCUUGCAUAUGCUAUAUAUAUGGGUCUUCCAGUUCUCAGAAGAUCCAAAACAUAGCAUUCGUUUUUUUAUCUUAGCUGCUGCAGGCUAAUUGAUUAUUUCAAAUUGAUACAUAGAUAAUCUAUGCAUCUUGUGAUAUAUGGCAUUAGACUACAAUAAGCUCCAUUACUAUCUUAACAUAAACAAUUAUCUCCAACACAGAAUGAUUAUUUUUUUGUUAAAUUAAAACCUCUAGCGAGGACAUGACGACAACUAAGGCACCCCUGCUACACUUUGUCUUGUUUACUUGUUUUGGCUGGCUUCCUCUAGGAAUUAUCAAAAUCCAUUAUCCUCUACAUCAAUCCAAACAUUAAAAUAACAUAGUACGUUGUGUGAUUUUCAAUUUCUUACAAAAAAUAAAAUAAAAUAAAAUUAGGUAGCUAGGACAGAUGAAAUGAGUUGAUAAUACUCUUGAAACAGUUGUAUGCAAUAAAAUGCAAUCCUACGAAUGCAAUAAGAGAGUAAGAGAGAGAGAGAGAGAGAGAGAGAGAGAGAGACCAUGCACACACAACUUGAAUUACAAUUGGGAAGGGAAGAAUGAAAAGGAAGUGCUGGGUGGGAAAAUCACCUUUUCCAAGGAAAGAAAAUCCAAUGUUACCUGUAAAACCCAGGUAGCUUUGGCUGUAUCUAUGGAGCUAUAUGUUAAGCCGUUGCUGCCGCCUUCUCUACCACCUUUCUUUCUCCCGAAGAAUAUUCUUCUUCUGUCUUCUGUCUUUCUUCUUCCUCCACAACCCCUUUAAAUCCCCCCUCCCCACGUGCUUUUCUUUGCUUGCAAUCGAAGCCUGAAACAAUAUUCAUACAGACACCACACAUACAGAGAGAGAAAGAGAGAGGUAGAUUAGUGGUUGAUCUCCCAGUUAUUUGCUCAUCUUCCAGUCUUGUGUCAUAUCUUCUCUCCAAGCACUGUAAGUGUCUAAAUAUUUCUGUGAUUGAAUGUUGGUUUAUAAGCUUCCAUAUUAUUACAAUUAUCUAAUACAAUCAAGAAUCAAUCAACUUUUCUUGAACAUCAUUAUCUAAGUCUAGUCUUUUAAAUUAUGGAGCUGCUUAAGAAAAAAAGUAUCAAUAGUUCGUGAAUCAGUUAAGUGUUUAUAGAUGAUAGUAAUUAACUGAGAUCACAAGGUAUGUAUGUAUAUAUGGCAUUUAUUAGAUUGUGUACUAAUUUUUUGCAGGUUAAGAUGCUCGAGACUGCUUCCUACUAGCUAGAGCUAGCUGCUUGGUCUGAAAGAAUGGUCUGCCUGGCUCCCUGAAUGCCAUCUAGGAAGCUUGUCAAAGAGUGUUGGCAACCUCUCUAACUGGCAUGAGGGGAGUCACGCAGGCCCAACAACUGCUUAUAUACUGCUACUCAAUAUUGAAUUCAUAAGCAAAAAAUAGUGCUCAAGGUACAGAUGAAUUGCGAGAGAUGGAGGACAGGCACUCAAGGUUUUGGCAGAUGCGGAUGGUGUGAGUUUUAUGGGAUUAGAGGGUGAGAAGAAAGAAGAUGUGGUGGUGAUUGGAGGAGUUGAUGCUGCCAAGUUAGCCAGCAGCUUAAGGAAGAAAGUUGGGCAUACUGACAUUGUCUCAGUGUUGCAGUAUUAGUGGAUAAGAAGUAGACAAGGCCCCCUUCCAAUCUUGUUUGUUUGUUUGUGGUUUAGCCUUCUUCAAAUAAGAUUGCUAGUCUAUGUUUUAUUGGAUCCUGUAUGGUGUCAAGAGUACUUGUGAUAUAUUAUUAUAGAGUUAACAUUGAUAAAUUACGAACAGUAGAACAUUACUAAAUCAAAAGGGCUAAAACGUAGUUAAAGCUAUUGCAUUCUGAUCCCACCUUAUGCCCUUGUGAUCGAGCGAGCAAUCACUAGAAAUGAAUAUCAAGGAAAAUCUUGGCUCUAAGAAUUUGGUUGCCUGGGGAGGUAGGUAGGGUAACACCCCUUUCAUCACAUAUGCUUCCAUAACACAAUGUUGGAGAUCAUCAUCAACUUUCAAGACUGAUCAACGUAGUGAAGAUAGA
Long non-coding RNA from Populus euphratica (Euphrates poplar), 2517 nucleotides. RefSeq lists it as uncharacterized. NCBI's taxonomy places the organism in Eukaryota, Viridiplantae, Streptophyta, Magnoliopsida, Malpighiales, Salicaceae. The transcript is spliced from 3 exons. The record is from RefSeq and is a predicted model, not a curated record.